AUUGAACGCUGGCGGAAUGCUUUACACAUGCAAGUCGAACGGCAGCACGGGAGCUUGCUCCUGGUGGCGAGUGGCGAACGGGUGAGUAAUAUAUCGGAACGUAUCCAAUAAUGGGGGAUAACUAGUCGAAAGAUUAGCUAAUACCGGAUACGCCCUGAGGGGGAAAGCUGGGAUCUUCGGACCUAGCGUUAAUGGAGCGGCCGAUAUCUGAUUAGCUAGUAGGUGAGGUAAAAGCUCACCUAGGCGACGAUCAGUAGCUGGUCUGAGAGGACGACCAGCCACACUGGAACUGAGACACGGUCCAGACUCCUACGGGAGGCAGCAGUGGGGAAUUUUGGACAAUGGGCGCAAGCCUGAUCCAGCCAUUCCGCGUGAGUGAAGAAGGCCUCGGGUUGUAAAGCUCUUUCGCAAGGGAAGAAAACUUAACCUCUAACAUAGGUUGAGGCUGACGGUACCUUGAUAAGAAGCACCGGCUAACUACGUGCCAGCAGCCGCGGUAAUACGUAGGGUGCGAGCGUUAAUCGGAAUUACUGGGCGUAAAGCGUGCGCAGGCGGCCUGAUAAGUCAGAUGUGAAAUCCCCGAGCUCAACUUGGGAACUGCGUUUGAAACUAUCAAGCUAGAAUAUGUCAGAGGGGGGUAGAAUUCCACGUGUAGCAGUGAAAAUGCGUAGAGAUGUGGAGGAAUACCAAUGGCGAAGGCAGCCCCUGGGAUAAUAUUGACGCUCAUGCACGAAAGCGUGGGGGAGCAAAA
This 751-nucleotide ribosomal RNA is filed under the name uncultured bacterium. RNAcentral describes it as "bacterial SSU rRNA". It matches the Rfam family "Bacterial small subunit ribosomal RNA", at positions 28 to 773 of the family's 1533-position model. The record is from RNAcentral.